CACGUAGGGCGCGAGCGUUGUCCGGAAUUAUUGGGCGUAAAGAGCUCGUAGGCGGCCUGUUGCGUCCGCUGUGAAAGCCCGGGGCUUAACCCCGGGUCGGCAGUGGAUACGGGCAGGCUAGAGGUAGGUAGGGGAGAAUGGAAUUCCUGGUGUAGCGGUGGAAUGCGCAGAUAUCAGGAGGAACACCAAUGACGAAGGCAGAUCUCUGGGCCGUAACUGACGCUGAGGAGCGAAAGCAUGGGGAGCGAACAGG
RNAcentral lists this ribosomal RNA (253 nucleotides) under uncultured bacterium. RNAcentral's name for it is "partial 16S ribosomal RNA". It matches the Rfam family "Bacterial small subunit ribosomal RNA", at positions 524 to 776 of the family's 1533-position model. The record is from RNAcentral.